GACGAACGCUGGCGGCGUGCUUAACACAUGCAAGUCGAACGGUGAAGGGGUCUGCUUUUGUGGGCCCUGGAUGAGUGGCGAACGGGUGAGUAACACGUGAGUAACCUGCCCCCUUCUUCUGGAUAACCGCAUGAAAGUGUGGCUAAUACGGGAUAUUCUGGGUCUGUCGCAUGAUGGGUCUGGGAAAGAUUGCGCCUUUGGGUGUUUUUGGUGGGGGAUGGGCUCGCGGCCUAUCAGCUUGUUGGUGGGGUGAUGGCCUACCAAGGCGGUGACGGGUAGCCGGCCUGAGAGGGUGGACGGUCACACUGGGACUGGGACACGGCCCAGACUCCUACGGGAGGCAGCAGUGGGGAAUAUUGCACAAUGGGCGCAAGCCUGAUGCAGCGACGCCGCGUGAGGGAUGGAGGCCUUCGGGUUGUAAACCUCUUUCGCCAGUGAAGCAGGCCUGCUCCUUGUGGGUGGGUUGACGGUAGCUGGAUAAGAAGCGCCGGCUAACUACGUG
Molecule: ribosomal RNA, 502 nt
Filed under: uncultured bacterium
Lineage: Bacteria
Description: partial 16S ribosomal RNA
Rfam family: Bacterial small subunit ribosomal RNA
Source: RNAcentral